AUUGAACGCUGGCGGCAGGCCUAACACAUGCAAGUCGAGCGGAGCGGCGGACGGGUGAGUAAUGACUAGGAAUCUGCCUGGUAGUGGGGGAUAACGUCCGGAAACGGGCGUUAAUACCGCCUACUAUCAGAUGAGCCUAGGUUGGAUUAGCUAGUAGGUGGGGUAAUGGCUCACCUAGGCGACGAUCCCUAGCUGGUCUGAGAGGAUGACCAGCCACACGGGAACUGAGACACGGUCCAGCAUCCUACGGGAGGCCGCAGUGGGGAAUAUUGCCCAAUGGGCGCAAGCCUGAUGCAGCCAUGCCGCGUGUGUGAAGAAGGCCUUCGGGUUGUAAAGCACUUUCAGCGUGGAGGCGUUACCCGCAGAAGAAGCACCGGCUAACUCCGUGCCAGCAGCCGCGGUAAUAC
This 407-nucleotide ribosomal RNA is filed under the name uncultured bacterium. Its description in RNAcentral is "partial 16S ribosomal RNA". It matches the Rfam family "Bacterial small subunit ribosomal RNA", at positions 30 to 526 of the family's 1533-position model. The record is from RNAcentral.